RNAcentral lists this ribosomal RNA (253 nucleotides) under uncultured bacterium. RNAcentral's name for it is "partial 16S ribosomal RNA". It matches the Rfam family "Bacterial small subunit ribosomal RNA", at positions 524 to 776 of the family's 1533-position model. The record is from RNAcentral.
UACGUAUGGUGCAAGCGUUAUCCGGAUUUACUGGGUGUAAAGGGAGCGCAGGCGGCACGGCAAGCCUGAUGUGAAAGCCCGCGGCCCAACCGCGGGACUGCAUUGGGAACUACCGGGCUGGAGUGCCGGAGAGGUGGGCGGAAUUCCUAGUGUAGCGGUAAAAUGCGUAGAUAUUAGGAGGAACACCAGUGGCGAAGGCGGCCUACUGGACGGUGACUGACGCUGAGGCUCGAAAGCGUGGGGAGCAAACAGG